Molecule: ribosomal RNA, 492 nt
Filed under: uncultured bacterium
Lineage: Bacteria
Description: partial 16S ribosomal RNA
Rfam family: Bacterial small subunit ribosomal RNA
Source: RNAcentral
AGUGAACGCUGGCGGUAGGCCUAACACAUGCAAGUCGAACGGCAGCACAGUAAGAGCUUGCUCUUACGGGUGGCGAGUGGCGGACGGGUGAGGAAUACAUCGGAAUCUACUUUUUCGUGGGGGAUAACGUAGGGAAACUUACGCUAAUACCGCAUACGACCUACGGGUGAAAGCAGGGGAUCUUCGGACCUUGCGCGAUUGAAUGAGCCGAUGUCGGAUUAGCUAGUUGGCGGGGUAAAGGCCCACCAAGGCGACGAUCCGUAGCUGGUCUGAGAGGAAGAUCAGCCACACGGGAACUGAGACACGGUCCAGACUCCUAAGGGAGGAAGCAGUGGGGAAUAUUGGACAAUGGGCGCAAGCCUGAUCCAGCCAUACCGCGUGGGUGAAGAAGGCCUUCGGGUUGUAAAGCCCUUUUGUUGGGAAAGAAAAGCAGCAGGUUAAUACCCCGCUGUUCUGACGGUACCCAAAGAAUAAGCACCGGCUAACUUCGUG